Molecule: ribosomal RNA, 618 nt
Filed under: uncultured fungus
Lineage: Eukaryota; Fungi
Description: LSU rRNA
Rfam family: Eukaryotic large subunit ribosomal RNA
Source: RNAcentral
ACCCGCUGAACUUAAGCAUAUCAAUAAGCGGAGGAAAAGAAACCAACAGGGAUUGCCCUAGUAACGGCGAGUGAAGCGGCAACAGCUCAAAUUUGAAAUCUGGCGUCUUCGGCGUCCGAGUUGUAAUUUGUAGAGGAUGCUUCUGGGUAGCCACUGGUCUAAGUUCCUUGGAACAGGACGUCAUAGAGGGUGAGAAUCCCGUAUGCGGCCGGCCGGCACCCUCCACGUAGCUCCUUCGACGAGUCGAGUUGUUUGGGAAUGCAGCUCUAAAUGGGAGGUAAAUUUCUUCUAAAGCUAAAUACUGGCCAGAGACCGAUAGCGCACAAGUAGAGUGAUCGAAAGAUGAAAAGCACUUUGGAAAGAGAGUUAAAAAGCACGUGAAAUUGUUAAAAGGGAAGCGCUUGCAACCAGACUUGCUUGCGGUGUUCGGCCGGUCUUCUGACCGGUUUACUCGCCGUACGCAGGCCAGCAUCAUUUGGGGCCGCCGGAUAAAACUCCAGGAAUGUAGCUCCCUCGGGAGUGUUAUAGCCUGGGGCAAUGCGGCGAGCCCCGAGUGAGGUCCGCGCUUCGGCUAGGAUGCUGGCGUAAUGGUUGUAAGCGGCCCGUCUUGAAACACGG